AACAGAAUGGCUGAGGGGUAGGCGUUAGACUGUAAAUUUAAUUACGGAAAAUUUUCCUUCUGUUA
RNAcentral lists this transfer RNA (65 nucleotides) under Salina celebensis. RNAcentral's name for it is "tRNA-Tyr". It matches the Rfam family "tRNA". From Rfam's summary of the family: Transfer RNA (tRNA) molecules are approximately 80 nucleotides in length. Their secondary structure includes four short double-helical elements and three loops (D, anti-codon, and T loops). Further hydrogen bonds mediate the characteristic L-shaped molecular structure. tRNAs have two regions of fundamental functional importance: the anti-codon, which is responsible for specific mRNA codon recognition, and the 3' end, to which the tRNAs corresponding amino acid is attached (by aminoacyl-tRNA synthetases). tRNAs cope with the degeneracy of the genetic code in two manners: having more than one tRNA (with a specific anti-codon) for a particular amino acid; and 'wobble' base-pairing, i.e. permitting non-standard base-pairing at the 3rd anti-codon position. The record is from RNAcentral. Lineage: Eukaryota; Metazoa; Arthropoda; Collembola; Entomobryomorpha; Paronellidae.